Molecule: ribosomal RNA, 234 nt
Filed under: uncultured bacterium
Lineage: Bacteria
Description: partial 16S ribosomal RNA
Rfam family: Bacterial small subunit ribosomal RNA
Source: RNAcentral
GAUCCUGGCUCAGGACGAACGCUGGCGGCGCGCCUAACACAUGCAAGUCGAACGGAAGUGUUCAGUCGGAAGUUUUCGGAUGGAAGAGUGGACAGUUUAGUGGCGAACGGGUGAGUAACGCGUGAGUAACCUGCCCUUCAGAGGGGGACAACAGUUGGAAACGACUGCUAAUACCGCAUAAGCCCACGGUGUCACAUGGCACAGUGAGAAAAGGAGAAAUCCGCUGAAAGAUGG